UCCGUAGGGUGCAAUCGUUGUCCGGAAUUAUUGGGCGUAAAGAGCUCGUAGGCGGUUUGUCGCGUCUGCUGUGAAAGUUCGGGGCUCAACCCCGGAACUGCAGUGGGUACGGGCAGACUAGAGUGCGGUAGAGGAGACUGGAAUUCCUGGUGUAGCGGUGGAAUGCGCAGAUAUCAGGAGGAACACCAGUGGCGAAGGCGGGUCUCUGGGCCGCAACUGACGCUGAGGAGCGAAAGCGUGGGGAGAGAACAGG
Molecule: ribosomal RNA, 253 nt
Filed under: uncultured bacterium
Lineage: Bacteria
Description: partial 16S ribosomal RNA
Rfam family: Bacterial small subunit ribosomal RNA
Source: RNAcentral